GAUGAACGCUGACAGAAUGCUUAACACAUGCAGGUCAACUUGAAUUUGGGUUUUUAACUUAGGUUUGGGUGGCGGACGGGUGAGUAACGCGUAAAGAACUUGCCUCACAGCUAGGGACAACAUUUGGAAACGAAUGCUAAUACCUAAUAUUAUGAUAAUAGGGCAUCCUAUAAUUAUGAAAGCUAUAAGCGCUGUGAGAGAGCUUUGCGUCCCAUUAGCUAGUUGGAGAGGUAACGGCUCACCAAGGCGAUGAUGGGUAGCCGGCCUGAGAGGGUGAUCGGCCACAAGGGGACUGAGACACGGCCCUUACUCCUACGGGAGGCAGCAGUGGGGAAUAUUGGACAAUGGACCGAGAGUCUGAUCCAGCAAUUCUGUGUGCACGAUGAAGUUUUUCGGAAUGUAAAGUGCUUUCAGUUGGGAAGAAACAAAUGACGGUACCAACAGAAGAAGUGACGGCUAAAUACGUG
This 467-nucleotide ribosomal RNA is filed under the name uncultured bacterium. Its description in RNAcentral is "partial 16S ribosomal RNA". It matches the Rfam family "Bacterial small subunit ribosomal RNA", at positions 28 to 507 of the family's 1533-position model. The record is from RNAcentral.